This is a non-coding RNA of Petromyzon marinus (sea lamprey), 1501 nucleotides long. Lineage: Eukaryota; Metazoa; Chordata; Hyperoartia; Petromyzontiformes; Petromyzontidae. The record is from RefSeq and is a predicted model, not a curated record.
CACGUCUGUUUGCAUGUUCACCACAAGUACUUUGUGUGCUCAAUGCGACACUUAAUGUCUUCAAAAAGGUUCCUAGUCGGCGUUUGAACAUCUCAACAUCCCUCAUGUUUUAUUGCCAGAAAGGGAAAAAAACCUAUUCUCAUUUUCCAUACGAGAUGUACUAAUGUGGGUGCUGUGUGUUGUUGUUUCCCUAGAAUUUAUGGUCAUCACCCCCGAGAAAAUGAAUGCCGUAGCAGGCAGCACGGUUUUCCUGCCCUGCUCGUACACCUGUACAAUCAGCGGCGUUAUGCACACGCUGGUGGAGUGGUUUCAGACUAUAGAUGGACAUGAAGAGAGGCUCUAUAAAUUCGCCAAUGGAGAUAGCCACGGGCUGUUACACACCACCUGGACGGGUGAUGUGACCAAGUGCGAUGCCUCCAUCACUGUGAGUGACAUCAAGACCCACGACUCUGGGCGAUAUCGCUGCGAGGUCACGGUGUUUCCACAAAACAUCCACGACAUUGGGUACCUGCAGCUGCAUGUCAACAGUCCAUCAGAACUCGUGGUUGUGACCCCAGAUAAAAUGAACGCCAUGGCGGGCACUACAUUUAUCCUGCUGUGCUCCUACACCUGCACAAUCAGCGGCGUUAGCCACAAGCUGGUGGAGUGGUUCAGGACCACAGACGGGCGUGAACAGAGGGUGAGUUACUCCUCUGUCCGUUCUGUGCGCCAUUUGCCGAUCAAUCGCAGCAAGAGCAAGCGUGGAAUGAUAGUCUCCAUAAUAAAUGAUAGUCUCGUUAGUAAACCUGGUCACAUGACCCGUGAGCAUUUACCUGGUCACAUGACCCUUGAGCAUUUACAAUAUGCAACGCAGAUGAACAGGUUUGGUAUUUUCUUGCCAGAUCGAGGGCCCCAUCGUCACGUGACUGGGCGGAGGCAUGGGCGAGCCAAUUGAAAAUCGUCUCCACGUGAAGCCCCCCCCUUCGGCAACAGUUAAUCCAGCCCGGUCGCAAGCCCUGCAGACAGAAUAAUUCUCGGGUUUCAUCUGAACGAAUUUGAUACCCGCAUAAUGUGACGCAUUUGAUCUCUGCGUGUUGCCUUCACCUUGCUUCACCACAGAUUUAUCAAUACACCGAUGGAGAGAGCGGCCGCUGGCCUUUACAGGCCACCUGGGUGGGCGAUGUGUCCACGUGCGACGCCUCCGUCACCGUCAGCGGCAUCCGCACCAACGACUCUGGGCGAUAUCGCUGUGAGGUCACGGUGUAUCCACAAAACAUCCAAGACAUUGGGUACCUUCAGCUGAACAUCCACCCGCAAACAGACCUGGCCGUUGUCAUCCCGGAUGCAAAGGAUGCCACAGUAGGCAGCACGGCUCUCCUGUCCUGCUCCUACACCUGCAACAUCACGGGUAUUAGACACACGCUGGUGGAGUGGUUCAGGACCAUAGACGGACGUGAUGAGAAGGUGCGUCACUGUCACACGUGCACACUAUUACUCACACACUCCUGCUUAAACAUGAUGA